Long non-coding RNA from Mus spicilegus (steppe mouse), 1454 nucleotides. Lineage: Eukaryota; Metazoa; Chordata; Mammalia; Rodentia; Muridae. The record is from Ensembl.
GGUCAAGGAAGGCCAGCAGUGCUGAGCUCCUAAAGCUGACCGGGCUCAUCUUAGUGGGACAUAGGAACAGGGUCUAGGGUAGGAUGGAAUCCUUUGUGUGACUCUCUCACUUAUUGAUACUCAUUGUCCUAACAGGCUAAAUAUCAAUAUAGUGUCCCCUGUUUGUGACAAGCCAAUGCCAAUAUUCCUUAUACACCUACAAAGCUGAUUAUGAGCACCCUGGGUCUAAAACACCCCAGUCUCGUUCUUGCUGAGUACCACUUGGUUGCAGGAAGAAUGUAGGACCCAGGACAUGAGCUGUGCAGACCCCACCAGGUAUGGUUCAGGCAGUGUUCUGGCUCGGCUGCUUACCAGGGUGUUUAAGUGCAAAAGUCCCCAAGGAUGUCCAGGUAACCUGAAACAUUUCUUUCUACACUUAAACUCCCCCACUAUCUCCACAUCCGCAGACUCCUAGGAAGAGCUGACUAUUGCUGUUGACAGCAAUAACAGUUCAUUUUCUUUUGUUUGGAUUAAACAAUAAUUUGAGUGGAAAGUACUUCUUAGUGCAGCAAUUAAGGACUAACUGGAGGGAAAGCCAAGGACUUAGACCAGCCAGUCAUUAGCUCCCAGGAAAUGUUAGCUCUGCCGGGUAACAAUGGCUAGAAAACUCUGAUAUGGUGGGAAGAAAAAAAAAGGAAAAAUUGAAGCAAUUCUCUUUUCUUUUUUAAACAAUGAAAAGUUUAACCAUGUGGUGGAGUUGCCAUAGACAGGAGCUCGGGGUGGUUCACAUUUGUCCUGGGUCUGCACCCGGGGCAUCAUGAUUGGACAGUUGUUAGCACCCACAGCUUCUCUUCCCAAGUACCAGUAAUGAAUAGCCCCAGGCUCCCACGGAAACCCCCAAGCCUUUACUUGUCACUGUAAUUUCCUUGGAAAGUGCUUCUAAUUACAAAGUUCUUGAUGCCUGCUCCAGGUCAGGUCUCCUACACAGUGCACAAAUCACAUAAAGUGGGGCGUAGACUCUGGAGUAGGCCGAAGUGCCUGCCAUGCAGUUGUUCUUAGCUUUGGAGUUAAGUGGUAGUGGGUGUUGAGAGCAUCAUUUGCAUGAGCUAAAGGAACAGCACAGAACUACUUCUCUGUAACUCCUUGUAGUACAGAAUCCCUCUGCACAAGAGCAAAGAGUCCUAGCUGUUUGCUUUAAGGCUUGGUUAAGAGAGACUUAAUUAUUUCAUUACCUGGGACUUGCUGCUGGUGGUUUAGUUCUUGGAGAUGGGAACAUCAUUAGUUAGGAUUCUCAUAGACAAAGAAAAUUUCCAAGAUAUAAGGCAAUGCUCAUCUGGCAGGAAGUAAUGCUAAGAGCAUGUGGCCUAGCUAGCCAAUAGGCAGGUCAGAGGCAGAGUUAGGAACCAGAAGUCAUUACUCUGAAACUUGUGGUGCUUGACAACUGAGCUACAUCUCCAGGCUGAGACAGAGCAGUU